This 1300-nucleotide long non-coding RNA is filed under the name Zostera marina. Its description in RNAcentral is "long non-coding RNA (ZMAR_LNC000360)". The record is from RNAcentral. Lineage: Eukaryota; Viridiplantae; Streptophyta; Magnoliopsida; Alismatales; Zosteraceae.
GUUUUUUAUUUAGGAAAAGCUAUCAUGAUUUUUCUUCGCCUAUGAAAAAUCAAUCUGUUGAUGAAAACUAUAAGUGACCACUGGUUACUGAAAUAUUUCAUUCUUCAUACAAUUUGUUAUGGUGCGGUGCUACUUCCAAAGUUUCUUAAUUCUGAUGAACUUUUUAUAAAAUAAGGCAAGGCCUCCAUGAAUCUUAGAACUUUAGAAAAACUGUGGAUGGACUGUUGGCCAUUCUUCUAAUGUCUUCGACUUCUGGUGAUCCAUCUUCAAAGGUUCAAACCAUCUCUUCCAAUAUGGAAAGUGGAAACCCAAGGCACAAACUCACAUUUCUUUACAUUGAGUGUCUACUGUAGAUUAAUGCAUCGUCGAAAUAGAUGACAAUCCAUUCAUUGAAGAGACUUGGCACGUUGGAGAGACUGAAAAGCAUAUUUAAAUUAUUUAAUUGACUAUCCAUACAUACAAUGACCUUAAAUGCAGUUUUUCUAUGUUUAAUUCUAAUAUGAUGGUACCUGCUUUUCAAGUCAAGCUUUUAGAAGAUGGUAAAUUUGGUGGUAAUAUCAACAUUCAAGUAUAUCAUCAAUCUUCGAUAUUGGAAACCAUUAUUUUACCAUGAUUCAAUUUUUAGCAUAUAUUAUUUUACCAUGAUUCAGUUUUUGCUUCGCAUGGACUUUAGUAUGGGAAGUUAGGUAGAGAUAAACCCGGAACGAGGUCAAUUUGAUGAGAGAUCUUUCUAUUUGAGGGUUAGACCUUCAAGUUUUUGAAAAUUCCUUCAUUAUGCUCUGACUAAUGGUGUUUCUUUGGUUGAGUAACAACAUUGACUGAUUCCAUUCCAGAUGGCUCGUUUGAUCCGAGUCGAAGAUCCUAAUCCAAGAGUAGUGUCUGGAGUUCAAAUGUCAUGGCUAAGUUAAAAUGAGUCGUUAUUGCCUAAUGAAUAAUUCAUUUUUCUCUCCAGAAAUUUCCAAAACAUCUAGAAAAGCAUUUAUGGGUAAUGUAGUCCUCCAUAAUUCAGUUACCCUUGGAGAUUGUAAAAACAAUACCUUUGUCAUGGAGUUAGGUUUUGAGAAAGUGCUCAUACAGAAUAAAAUUAAAUAAACUUGAUAGAGUUUCAUCUGAACUAACUUGAUAGAGUUGGUACUUGGUCGGUUGAGAAUGAAGACUCUGUGGCUGCAGAAGAUGUCAAUAGCGAAUAUAGAAUUGAUGAUAGUAGAAUUAAUCAACCUCAGGGGUGAAGAUACCAUAUAAGAACAUUAGGCAAAUGGAAUAACUGAUUCUGUUAAAUGAUCGGGAAAUUGAAUGCUUU